UCUAUCAAAAAGUGAUGGUAAUAAUGGCAAGGAUAACAUACAUAGAUGUUUAAAAAAAUACUAACAAAUGAGUGCGCCAUGAAAUGUUCGUGGAAAGGAUUGCGGAAUAAUUUUAGAAUGUCCAAUUUAUAUUUCAUAAGAAUUAUGAAAGGAGAGAUAAUAUUACGCUAUAGUAUUUUUACAGAAUGUGAAUUUGAUAGUGCAAUAGCGGAAUGGUUACGCUUUGCAAGUCAAA
Molecule: long non-coding RNA, 235 nt
Organism: Odontomachus brunneus
Lineage: Eukaryota; Metazoa; Arthropoda; Insecta; Hymenoptera; Formicidae
Exons: 2
Source: RefSeq, a predicted model, not a curated record